AAUGCACCAAUUUGUAAGUCGCUCUGGAUAAGAGCGUCUGCUAAAUGACAGAAA
This is a non-coding RNA of Salmo salar (Atlantic salmon), 54 nucleotides long. Lineage: Eukaryota; Metazoa; Chordata; Actinopteri; Salmoniformes; Salmonidae. The record is from Rfam.